This 30-nucleotide non-coding RNA is filed under the name Mus musculus (house mouse). The record is from RNAcentral. Lineage: Eukaryota; Metazoa; Chordata; Mammalia; Rodentia; Muridae.
UAGGCAAGCACCAAUCCCUGGCAUUAUUGA